AUGCACGCUGGCGGCGUGCCUAAUACAUGCAAGUCGAGCGAACAGACGAGGAGCUUGCUCCUCUGACGUUAGCGGCGGACGGGUGAGUAACACGUGGAUAACCUACCUAUAAGACUGGGAUAACUUCGGGAAACCGGAGCUAAUACCGGAUAAUAUAUUGAACCGCAUGGUUCAAUAGUGAAAGACGGUUUUGCUGUCACUUAUAGAUGGAUCCGCGCCGCAUUAGCUAGUUGGUAAGGUAACGGCUUACCAAGGCAACGAUGCGUAGCCGACCUGAGAGAGUGAUCGGCCACACUGGAACUGAGACACGGUCCAGACUCCUACGGGAGGCAGCAGUAGGGAAUCUUCCGCAAUGGGCGAAAGCCUGACGGAGCAACGCCGCGUGAGUGAUGAAGGUCUUCGGAUCGUAAAACUCUGUUAUUAGGGAAGAACAAAUGUGUAAGUAACUAUGCACGUCUUGACGGUACCUAAUCAGAAAGCCACGGCUAACUACGUG
Molecule: ribosomal RNA, 496 nt
Filed under: uncultured bacterium
Lineage: Bacteria
Description: partial 16S ribosomal RNA
Rfam family: Bacterial small subunit ribosomal RNA
Source: RNAcentral